AGAAUCAACGCUGGCGGCGUGCCUAACACAUGCAAGUCGCACGAGAAAGGGACUUCGGUCCUGAGUACAGUGGCGCACGGGUGAGUAACACGUGAAUAAUCUACCUCCGAGUGGGGAAUAACUGAGAGAAAUCUUAGCUAAUACCGCAUAACACUUACGAGUCAAAGCAGCAAUGCGCUUGGAGAGGAGUUCGCGGCAGAUUAGUUAGUUGGCGGGGUAAUGGCCCACCAAGACGAUGAUCUGUAUCCGGCCUGAGAGGGCGCACGGACACACUGGAACUGAAACACGGUCCAGACUCCUACGGGAGGCAGCAGUGGGGAAUUUUGCGCAAUGGGGGAAACCCUGACGCAGCAACGCCGCGUGGAGGAUGAAGCCCCUUGGGGUGUAAACUCCUUUCGAUCGGGAAGAUAAUGACGGUACCGAUAUAAGAAGCCCCGGCUAACUUCGUGCCAGCAGCCGC
RNAcentral lists this ribosomal RNA (460 nucleotides) under uncultured bacterium. RNAcentral describes it as "SSU rRNA". It matches the Rfam family "Bacterial small subunit ribosomal RNA", at positions 26 to 518 of the family's 1533-position model. The record is from RNAcentral.